UGGGGAAUAUUGCACAAUGGGCGAAAGCCUGAUGCAGCGACGCCGCGUGAGGGAUGACGGCCUUCGGGUUGUAAACCUCUUUCAGCAGGGAAGAAGCGAAAGUGACGGUACCUGCAGAAGAAGCGCCGGCUAACUACGUGCCAGCAGCCGCGGUAAUACGUAGGGCGCAAGCGUUGUCCGGAAUUAUUGGGCGUAAAGAGCUCGUAGGCGGUUAGUCGCGUCUGCUGUGAAAACUCGAGGCUCAACCUCGGGCUUGCAGUGGGUACGGGCUGACUAGAGUGCGGUAGGGGUGACUGGAAUUCCUGGUGUAGCGGUGGAAUGCGCAGAUAUCAGGAGGAACACCGAUGGCGAAGGCAGGUCACUGGGCCGCAACUGACGCUGAGGAGCGAAAGCAUGGGGAGCGAACAGGAUUAGAUACCCUGGUAGUCCAUGCCGUAAACGUUGGGCACUAGGUGUGGGGUCCAUUUCCACGGAUUCCGUGCCGCAGCAAACGCAUUAAGUGCCCCGCCUGGGGAGUACGGCCGCAAGGCUAAAACUUAAAGGAAAUGAC
This 550-nucleotide ribosomal RNA is filed under the name uncultured bacterium. Its description in RNAcentral is "partial 16S ribosomal RNA". It matches the Rfam family "Bacterial small subunit ribosomal RNA", at positions 355 to 914 of the family's 1533-position model. The record is from RNAcentral.